UGACCUCCCAAGUCUCAACAGAAACAUCCCUGACAUUGAGUACGAGCAGUUCAUUGCAGGCCUCUGAAUACUCAGUCCAGGAAAGCUAAACCAUUCUAGCCUUCAUCGGUUCUGGGAAAGCAAUCUUCAGAGUGGGAAAAAACAUUGAAAAAUAAUAUUCUGGUUCACUUGGUGAUAAUAAUAGUAAACAAAGCAACAGCAAACCCUUACAGUACUCUGUCCUGCUGUUGCAGGAACGCUGUGUUCACGACAAUUCAAUGAGUUGGCACCACUAUGACUUCCACUUUAAAGAUGGCCUUGCCUCCUGCUUCAGAGAGAAUGACAUGUUACUGGAAAGGAACUCG
This is a non-coding RNA of Vicugna pacos (alpaca), 344 nucleotides long. Lineage: Eukaryota; Metazoa; Chordata; Mammalia; Artiodactyla; Camelidae. The record is from RefSeq and is a predicted model, not a curated record.